GACGAACGCUGGCGGCGUGCUUAACACAUGCAAGUCGAACGGUGAAGCGCCUUCUUUUUUGGUGGGUGUGGUUGAGUGGCGAACGGGUGAGUAACACGUGCGUAACCUGCCCCCUUCUUCUGGAUAACCGCAUGAAAGUGUGGACAAUACGGGAUAUUCUGGUUCUUUCGCAUGAUGGGUAUGGGUCAGAGAUUGUUGAGGUGGGGGAGGUGCUUGAGGUCUAUCAGGGUGUUGGGGGGGUGAUGGGCUACCACGGCUGUGACGGGUCGCCGGCCUGAGAGGGUGGCCGGUCACACUGGGUGUGAGACACGACUCAGACUGCUACGAGGGGCAGCAUUCGGCAGUAGUGCACAAUGGGCGCAAUUCUGAUGCAGCGGCGACGCGUGAGGGGUGGCGGCGCUCGGGUUGUGAACCUCUUUCGCCAGUGAAGCAGUCCUGCCUCGUUUGUGGGUUGGUUGACGGUAGCUGGAUAAGAAGCACCGGCUAACUACGUG
Molecule: ribosomal RNA, 494 nt
Filed under: uncultured bacterium
Lineage: Bacteria
Description: partial 16S ribosomal RNA
Rfam family: Bacterial small subunit ribosomal RNA
Source: RNAcentral